This 68-nucleotide transfer RNA is filed under the name Rhinolophus luctus (Woolly horseshoe bat). RNAcentral describes it as "tRNA-Arg". Lineage: Eukaryota; Metazoa; Chordata; Mammalia; Chiroptera; Rhinolophidae. The record is from RNAcentral.
UGAUAAUUAGUUUAAACAAAACAAAUGAUUUCGACUCAUUAAAUUAUGAAUAUACUCAUAAUUAUCAA